RNAcentral lists this ribosomal RNA (613 nucleotides) under uncultured fungus. RNAcentral describes it as "LSU rRNA". It matches the Rfam family "Eukaryotic large subunit ribosomal RNA", at positions 38 to 667 of the family's 3401-position model. The record is from RNAcentral. Lineage: Eukaryota; Fungi.
GCAUAUCAAUAAGCGGAGGAAAAGAAACCAACAGGGAUUGCCUUAGUAGCGGCGAGUGAAGCGGCAAAAGCUCAAAUUUGAAAUCUGGCACUUUCAGUGUCCGAGUUGUAAUUUGAAGAAGGUAUCUUUGGGUCUGGCUCUUGUCUAUGUUUCUUGGAACAGAACGUCACAGAGGGUGGGAAUCCCGUGCGAUGAGAUGACCCAGACCUAUGUAAAGUUCCUUCGAAGAGUCGAGUUGUUUGGGAAUGCAGCUCUAAGUGGGUGGUAAAUUCCAUCUAAAGCUAAAUAUUGGCGAGAGACCGAUAGCGAACAAGUACAGUGAUGGAAAGAUGAAAAGAACUUUGAAAAGAGAGUGAAAAAGUACGUGAAAUUGUUGAAAGGGAAGGGCUUGAGAUCAGACUUGGUAUUUUGUAUGUUACUCUUUCGGGGGUGGCCUCUACAGUUUACCGGGCCAGCAUCAGUUUGGGCGGUAGGAGAAUUGCAAAGAAAUGUGGCACUGCUUCGGUAGUGUGUUAUAGUCUUUGUCGAUACUGCCAGCCUAGACUGAGGACUGCGGCUUCGGCCUAGGAUGUUGGCAUAAUGAUCUUAAGUCGCCCGUCUUGAAACACGGACC